RNAcentral lists this ribosomal RNA (496 nucleotides) under uncultured bacterium. RNAcentral describes it as "partial 16S ribosomal RNA". It matches the Rfam family "Bacterial small subunit ribosomal RNA", at positions 29 to 507 of the family's 1533-position model. The record is from RNAcentral.
AUGAACGCUGGCGGCGUGCCUCAUACAUGCAAGUCGAGCGAACGGACGAGAAGCUUGCUUCUCUGAUGUUAGCGGCGGACGGGUGAGUAACACGUGGAUAACCUACCUAUAAGACUGGGAUAACUUCGGGAAACCGGAGCUAAUACCGGAUAAUAUUUUGAACCGCAUGGUUCAAAAGUGAAAGACGGUCUUGCUGUCACUUAUAGAUGGAUCCGCGCUGCAUUAGCUAGUUGGUAAGGUAACGGCUUACCAAGGCAACGAUGCAUAGCCGACCUGGGAGGGUGAUCGGCCACACUGGAACUGAGACACGGUCCAGACUCCUACGGGAGGCAGCAGUAGGGAAUCUUCCGCAAUGGGCGAAAGCCUGACGGAGCAACGCCGCGUGAGUGAUGAAGGUCUUCGGAUCGUAAAACUCUGUUAUUAGGGAAGAACAUAUGUGUAAGUAACUGUGCACAUCUUGACGGUACCUAAUCAGAAAGCCACGGCUAACUACGUG